Molecule: ribosomal RNA, 393 nt
Filed under: uncultured bacterium
Lineage: Bacteria
Description: partial 16S ribosomal RNA
Rfam family: Bacterial small subunit ribosomal RNA
Source: RNAcentral
AUACGGAGGAUCCGAGCGUUAUCCGGAUUUAUUGGGUUUAAAGGGAGCGUAGGCGGAGGAUCAAGUCAGCUGUGAAAUGUAGACGCUCAACGUCUGCACUGCAGUUGAAACUGGUCCCCUUGAGUGCGUAAGGGGCAGGCGGAAUUCGUCGUGUAGCGGUGAAAUGCUUAGAUAUGACGAAGAACUCCGAUCGCGAAGGCAGCUGGCCGGGCCGCAACUGACGCUGAAGCUCGAAGGUGCGGGUAUCGAACAGGAUUAGAUACCCUGGAAGUCCGCACAGUAAACGAUGGAUACUCGCUGUCGGCGAUAUACGGUCGGUGGCCAAGCGAAAGCGUUAAGUAUCCCACCUGGGGAGUACGCCGGCAACGGUGAAACUCAAAGGAAUUGACGGGG